RNAcentral lists this transfer RNA (68 nucleotides) under Chinaocerus tubulatus. RNAcentral's name for it is "tRNA-Tyr". The record is from RNAcentral. Lineage: Eukaryota; Metazoa; Arthropoda; Insecta; Hemiptera; Cicadellidae.
UACUAGAGUGGCUGAAAUAUAGGUAAUAAAUUGUAAAUUUAUUUAUGAAUUAAAAUUCUUCUAGUAAC